RNAcentral lists this small RNA (4916 nucleotides) under Pongo abelii (Sumatran orangutan). RNAcentral's name for it is "retained intron". The record is from RNAcentral. Lineage: Eukaryota; Metazoa; Chordata; Mammalia; Primates; Hominidae.
GCCAGCUGCUGGAGCCGCGACCAUGGAGGAGUCUGGCAUGUCUCAUGAAUCAGCAGAGGACUUGUUUCAUUUCAACGUAGGGGGCUGGCAUUUCUCAGUUCCCAGAAGCAAACUCUCUCAGUUUCCAGACUCCCUGCUGUGGAAAGAGGCUUCAGCCUUGACCUCUUCAGAAAGCCAGAGGCUAUUUAUCGACAGAGAUGGUUCCACAUUUAGGCACGUGCACUAUUACCUCUACACCUCCAAACUCUCCUUCUCCAGUUGUGCAGAACUGAACUUGCUGUAUGAGCAAGCAUUGGGUUUGCAGCUGAUGCCUUUGCUGCAGACUCUAGAUAACCUGAAGGAAGGGAAACACCAUCUACGCGUGCGGCCUGCAGACAUACCUGUUGCUGAGAGAGCAUCUCUGAACUACUGGCGUACGUGGAAGUGUAUUAGCAAACCCUCAGAGUUUCCAAUCAAAAGCCCCGCCUUCACAGGCCUACAUGAUAAGGCACCUCUGGGGCUCAUGGACACACCCCUGUUAGACACAGAAGAGGAGGUGCACUACUGCUUCCUGCCCCUAGACCUGGUGGCCAAAUAUCCCAGCCUAGUGACUGAAGACAACCUGCUGUGGCUGGCUGAGACGGUGGCCCUCAUCGAGUGCGAGUGCAGCGAGUUCCGCUUCAUUGGUGAUUGCUCUGUCCAGGGGUUGGGUGGGGGGUGGGCUGUUAGGACCCAUUCACCCCUCCCCAUCACAUGUCCCACAGAGGCCCAGCUUGGUGCUCAGGGCCUCAGGAGCUUCCCUGGGUAGAGGUGGCGGAAGUAUGACAGAGCCUUCCAGGAAGCAAGCAGAUUCCAGCAUUAGAAUCUCGCUAGACUCACGGCUAUUUUAUUCACUAUUUGUUUUGGGGUGGCCUGGCUGUAAAAGUGUCAGGCACUGGAAAGUGUCAGGGACCACAGGAGUUGGUGUGACGGGCAGGGAGCUCAGCUGGUUGCCAGUCGGCUUCUCUUCUUACUCUGCCCUUAUGUAUCCAACUGGCCUUCAGGCCUCAGUUCCUCUCACCAUAAAAUGAGGAAUCCAGAUUGUUUCAAAGAAUGGUGCUAGCUGCUCUUAAUGUCAGCAAACUCAGAAUAAAAGGGAAGGAGGGUGGAUGGUGACAGGUUCCCCCAGAGUCAUAGCAGAAUUGUCCACUUGAAGUAGUGACCUAAGGAAGGAUGAGAUUUUCCACCUUUGACAGAGAGAGCCUCUCUCCCCCUACUGCCCUAGGAUGAGCUCUGUUUGGGAUGUGAACUGAAUGAUCUCUUUGACCCCAAGAUGCUACUGCUGUCUAGAUAGAUAGGGCAGCAAACACUCAAGUUACACUAGGAGCCCAAAUGUCUGGAACCCCAGUCAUUCAUAUUCAUAGUCACCUAGAAAGUUGUCUGUGAUGUGCUUCUGUAUCUUUAAGUUGAUUCACACAGGACAUUAGCGUUGGCUCCAUCUCUGCCUCCCAUACUGCAGUCCAGGCAGGGACAAACUGCAAGUGCCACCCACCAGCCCAGGCUCGGCCGGGCCCCUCCUCUCUAAGCAGCAAGACAACUCCCUCUUUUGGAAUGACCUGCUCUUGGGUCAAGACUCACAGGGUAAGUCUCAGGGCCAGUGUGCCCACCAGGAGGGCCUGGCUUGGGAGCCCCAGGCCAUGCCACGGGAGGCCACACCCACGGCCUCAGACACAGGAAAACAAAGUAAUGUGGGGUCUUUCACCUUGAAAACCACACACUCAAAGCUAAUCUAAUAAGGUAUGUUGAUAAGUUGUUUCAGAACAAGGAGAACCUAGGAUAAGUUACAGCACCAGAAACCUGCCAAAACCAGGACCUACAGUUAAACCAGAAAUAGCCUCAUUAACUCACUGUGUUCCCCUUUGUUUUCCAAGUGAAUUUUCUUCGCUCACAGAAGAUUUUACUACCGGAUAAUUUCUCCAACAUUGAUGUAUUAGAAGCAGAAGUGGAAAUUCUGGAAAUCCCUGCACUCACUGAAGCUGUAAGGUGGUACCGGAUGAACAUGGGUGGCUGUUCCCGGACCACCUGUUCUCCCCUGAGCCCCGGGAAGGGGGCCCGCACAGCCAGCCUGGAGUCCAUGAAACCGCUCUACACAAUGGCCCUGGGUCUGCUGGUCAAGUACCCGGACUCUGCGCUGGGCCAGCUUCGCAUCGAGAGCACGCUAGACGGAAGCCGACUGUACAUCACAGGGAACGGCGUCCUCUUUCAGCACGUCAAGAACUGGCUGGGGACUUGCCGGCUGCCCCUGACAGAGACCAUUUCCGAGGUAUAUGAGCUCUGUGCCUUCCUAGACAAAAGGGACAUCACCUACGAGCCAAUGAAAGUGGCUUUGAAGACUCAUCUGGAGCCAAGGACUUUGGCACCCAUGGAUGUGCUCAAUGAGUGGACAGCAGAGAUCACCGUGUAUUCCCCACAACAGAUCAUCAAAGUGUAUGUUGGAAGCCACUGGUAUGCAACCACCCUGCAGACACUGCUGAAGGUACUGACGGCCUUGGCCGCCCUGCUCCCCAUCUGGCAUCACCACCUGAGCUGCUCUGGGGGCCAUCACCUGGCCCUCACACAGCUUCCAGCACUUGCUUAGAAACAAAGACUUUCCCGCCAGGCGCGGUGGCUCAUGCCUGUAAUCCCAGCACUUUGGGAGGCUGAGGUGGGCAGAUCACGAGGUCAGGAGUUCAAGACCAGCCUGACCAAUAUGGUGAAACCCCGUCUGUACUAAAAAUACAAAAAUUAGCCAGGUGUGAUGGCACAUGCCUGUAAUCCCAGCUACUUGGGAGGCUGAGGCACCAGAAUCACUUGAACCCAGGAGACAGAAGUUGCAGUGAGCCGAGAUCACGCCACUGCACUCCAACCUGGGUGACGGAGUGUGACUCUGCCUCAAAAAACAAAACAAAACAGAGCGCAAGUGGACCGAGUGGCCUGCUGGGAAGGCCCUCCGGAGUUUGGGUAGGGAGGGGGCCAGCUCUGAGGGGCCUGGACUGAGAAGGAGGUACGGUGGGCUUCCAAAUGCCUUGAGAGGGUGGUCUAGGGGCCAUCAAAAGUUGAAGCAGGGAUGAUGUGCUUCUCCCUGGAAGCUCUGCUCCCCACCAUGGUUCCCUGUGACUGACAAGACAAGGAGAUGGAAUCUCAAAGCCUCUGCUCUAGUGUAGUUGGAAAAGGGGAGUGAGAGAAGAUUGACCUGCCCCUUCCCAAAGACUUAGCCUCUGAGACUGAGUCUGGUGUCCAACCCCCUCCAGUAUCCAGAACUGCUGUCCAACCCUCAGAGAGUGUACUGGAUCAGAUAUGGACAAACCCUGCUCAUCCACGGGGAUGGCCAGAUGUUCCGACACAUUCUCAACUUCCUGAGACUUGGCAAACUGUUUUUACCAUCUGAAUUUAAGGAAUGGCCCCUCUUCUGCCAGGAGGUGGAGGAAUACCACAUUCCAUCCCUCUCAGAAGCCCUUGCACAAUGUGAAGGAUACAAGUCAUGGACUCAGGAGAAAGAAUCUGAAAAUGAAGAAGCUUUUCCCAUCAGGAGGCUGCACGUGGUGACAGAAGGGCCAGGGUCACUGGUGGAGUUCAGUAGAGACACUAAAGAAACCACAGCCUACAUGCCUGUGGGCUUCGAAGACUGCAGUGAUAGGACUCCAUGGAACAAGGCUAAGGGAAACCUGGCCAGGUCCAACCAGAUGGAGGAGGCUGAGCAGUACACUCGGCCCAUCCAGGUGUCCCUAUGCCGAAAUGCCAAGAGAGCUGGCAACCCUAGCACAUACUCACACUGCCCUGGCUUGUGUACCAAUCCUGGACACUGGGGGAGCCACCCUGAGAGCCCCCCAAAGAAGAAAUGCACCACAAUCAACCUCACACAGAAAUCUGAAACCAAAGACCCUCCCGCCACUCCCAUGCAAAAACUCAUCUCCCUGGUGAGAGAAUGGGACAUGGUCAGUUGCAAACAGUGGGAAUUCCAGCCACUGACAGCCUCCCGGAGCAGCCCUUUGGAGGAGGCCACCCUGCAGCUCCCCUUGGGAAGCGAGGCUGCUUCCCAGCCUAGCACCUCAGCUGCCUGGAAAGCCCAUUCCACAGCCUCAGAGAAGGAUCCAGGACCACAGGCAGGGGCUGGAGCUGGAGUGAAAGACAAGGGGCCAGAGCCAACCUUCAAGCCAUACUUCCCCCCAAAAAGAGCCAGCACCCUGAAGGACUGGAGCAAGCAGAGGACCAAGGAGAGAGAAAGCCCUGCCCCUGAGCAGCCUCUGCCCGAGGCCAGUGAGGUGGACAGCCUAGGGGUUAUCCUCAAAGUGACUCACCCCCCCGUGGUGGGCAGCGAUGGCUUCUGCAUGUUCUUUGAGGACAGCAUCAUCUACACCACGCAGAUGGACAACCUCAGGCACACACCACCCACAGCCAGUCCCCAGCCCCAAGAAGUGACUUUCCUGAGUUUCUCUCUGUCCUGGGAAGAGAUGUUUUAUGCGCAGAAAUGUCACGGCUUCCUGGCUGACAUCAUCCUGGAUUCCAUCAGGCAAAAGGACCCCAAAGCCAUCACAGCCAAGGUGGUCUCCCUGGCCAAUCGGCUGUGGACCCUGCACAUCAGCCCCAAGCAGUUUGUGGUAGAUUUGCUGGCCAUCACUGGCUUCAAGGACGACCGGCACACCCAGGAGUGCCUGUACAGCUGGGUGGAGCUUACACUGCCCUUCGCCAAGAAAUAUGGCCACUGCAUGGACCUGCUCAUCCAGAGGGGCCUGUCUAGGUCUGUCUCGUACUUCAUCCUGGGAAAGUACCUACAAGAGGACUAGGGUGCCCAGAGAUGCAGCCCCUCGUGCCCCACCCGCCAAGUCUCAUUUUAAUUGAAGAUAGCCCCAGAAUGCAUGUGCCCAUCAGAGGGUACAUAUCAGUCUAUUUUUUAUUAUAAACAAAUAAAAGAUUAAAUC